Chiroxiphia lanceolata (lance-tailed manakin) is the source of this 505-nucleotide long non-coding RNA. RefSeq lists it as uncharacterized. The transcript is spliced from 3 exons. The record is from RefSeq and is a predicted model, not a curated record. Lineage: Eukaryota; Metazoa; Chordata; Aves; Passeriformes; Pipridae.
CUGGGGGAUUGCACUCAGGGAUGUGUGAGUGUGCACGUGUGGGAGGGUUAUCCCACAGCAAUGUCACACAAUUCCACAAUCAUUUAGCCUGGAAGAAGCUCCCCUCUGCCAGGGGCUGCACCUCAGCCACCCCUGUGGCCUGGGACUGAGGCAAACAGGUCCCCAGUUCUCCAUCCAGGGAAUUCCACAGCUCCAAUUCCUCACCUUGCCCGCUCUGAGAUCCUCAAGCAAACUCUGCAGCUCCUCAGAGAAGGCAAGGCAGCAACCACAAAGCUGCUGGCAGCUUUACAUUAGAGAGGAGCCACAUUAACUCUGGGGAGAGCUGACAAUCCAUGCAGGGAGCAAACCCUCAGGAAACAGCAGCCAGGAGUGCCUGGAAAUGUCUGAAAUCAGAACACAGCCCCGAGAACAGAGGAGAACUGCAAGCAAACAGGCAAGGAAGCACUUGGCUCCAGGGGAACAUUCUGUCCCGUCCUCAAAACUCAACCAGACUUGGACUGCAGGU